Olea europaea var. sylvestris is the source of this 801-nucleotide long non-coding RNA. RefSeq lists it as uncharacterized. Lineage: Eukaryota; Viridiplantae; Streptophyta; Magnoliopsida; Lamiales; Oleaceae. The record is from RefSeq and is a predicted model, not a curated record. The transcript has 2 exons.
CCACGUCAUACCACCACUUUUUUUCUAAUUUCUCUAGCACCAGAAAUUUCAGGAAUUUCCACUUUCCUUUCUCUAUAUAUGAUCAAAGACCUGAUAGAACCCAAGAGGAUUUUGGCAAGUUUCCUUUAAUAUAACCUAAAAAUUCAACAAAGAUUUCAAUUUUGUUCUUGGUGAAGAAGAAGAAGAAGAAGAAGAAGAAGAAGAAGAAGAAGAAGAAGAAGAAGAAGAAAAAGAUAAUGGUGGUAGAGUUCUUUCUUGGGUGCACGGGAGUUGUGAUGCUCCUUCACGGAGCCAAUUUCUUCUUCCAUGCUCUCUCUUCUCAUUUCGCAGCCAUUCGUGCAAUCAGUUUCUUGGGAUUUGCGGCUUGGUAGAGACGGAAGAGACGGAAGAUGUUGUCAUGUCAAGUAAUGCUAUUAUGAGUGUUGUUCAUUAUCGUCUAUGACAAUGGCAUAAACGAAUUAGAAUAUAUUUUUAUUUAUCGAAUAAUGUCACAAUGACUCGACUGUAUCAUAGACCGAUAAUGAAACAACAUUUAUAAUAGAAAGCUUGAAUAUCAAUGGCAAGCUAUUUUUAAAUAUUGCAAGGACUAUAAUAAUAUUAACAGUAUAAUUGUAUAUGUUAGCAAGGUGUGACUCCUUCUACAUUUGAGGGGCUACAAAUACAUUAGUAUAUUCAUGCCUACUUCGUGAAAAAGCAAGUUUAAUUCUCUCUAGGUUUGGGCAAACAUGAAUGAAGUGAUUGUAAUUCAUUCAAUUUACAAAUGUUAAUAUGCAAUAUUGUACUUCCUCCGUCCUAAUUAUA